Molecule: unclassified non-coding RNA, 367 nt
Filed under: Hevea brasiliensis (rubber tree)
Lineage: Eukaryota; Viridiplantae; Streptophyta; Magnoliopsida; Malpighiales; Euphorbiaceae
Source: RNAcentral
AUUUAUUGGGACCCUUUCCUUCUUCAAACAAAGUGAAAAAUGUUAAUUAUUUUGGUAUUGAAUUGCAACAUGUAGCAGUUUUUCACCAAUUAUAGUCUAAAGCUAUAUUGUGCAAUUUAACGUACUGGAAGUGAAAACUUGAAGUCAAUUUGAUAGUGCAUUGACAAUUACCUCUGUACAUGCUCUUCCUAAUCAACCUUUCACACAUUUGACAAUUUGAUAGUGAACUGAAAUAAUGUGUAUUUAUAUUAUAUAUAUGUAGCUUUUAUUGUUUUAUGCUGUCAAAAUUGCAGUGAAAAACUAUUUUUAUGUGUUUAGAUUGAACCACAUUAUUCAAAUCUAUAACAUUAUAAGUCUGUUGUCAGUG